GUGAACGCUGGCGGUAGGCCUAACACAUGCACGUCGAACGGCAGCACCGUAAGAGCUUGCUCUUACGGGUGGCGAGUGGCGGACGGGUGAGGAAUACAUCGGAAUCUACUUUUUCGUGGGGGAUAACGUAGGGAAACUUACGCUAAUACCGCAUACGACCUACGGGUGAAAGCAGGGGAUCUUCGGACCUUGCGCGAUUGAAUGAGCCGAUGUCGGAUUAGCAAGUUGGCGGGGUAAAGGCCCACCAAGGCGACGAUCCGUAGCUGGUCUGAGAGGAUGAUCAGCCACACUGGAACUGAGACACGGUCCAGACUCCUACGGGAGGCAGCAGUGGGGAAUAUUGGACAAUGGGCGCAAGCCUGAUCCAGCCAUACCGCGUGGGUGAAGAAGGCCUUCGGGUUGUAAAGCCCUUUUGUUGGGAAAGAAAAGCAGCAGGUUAAUACCCCGCUGUUCUGACGGUACCCAAAGAAUAAGCACCGGCUAACUUCGUG
Molecule: ribosomal RNA, 491 nt
Filed under: uncultured bacterium
Lineage: Bacteria
Description: partial 16S ribosomal RNA
Rfam family: Bacterial small subunit ribosomal RNA
Source: RNAcentral